UACGGGGGGGGCAAGCGUUGUUCGGAAUUACUGGGCGUAAAGGGCUCGUAGGUGGCCAACUAAGUCAGACGUGAAAUCCCUCAGCUUAACUGGGGAACUGCGUCUGAUACUGGAUGGCUUGAGUUUGGGAGAGGGAUGCGGAAUUCCCAGUGUAGCGGUGAAAUGCGUAGAUAUUGGGAGGAACACCAGUGGCGAAGGCGGCUCACUGGACCGGUACUGACGCUGAUGCGCGAAAGCGUGGGGAGCAAACGGG
RNAcentral lists this ribosomal RNA (253 nucleotides) under uncultured bacterium. RNAcentral's name for it is "partial 16S ribosomal RNA". It matches the Rfam family "Bacterial small subunit ribosomal RNA", at positions 524 to 776 of the family's 1533-position model. The record is from RNAcentral.